UACGUAGGGGGCAAGCGUUGUCCGGAAUCAUUGGGCGUAAAGCGCGCGUAGGCGGCCCGAUAAGUCCGCUGUGAAAGUCAAAGGCUCAACCUUUGAAUGCCGGUGGAUACUGUCGGGCUAGAGUCCGGAAGAGGCGAGUGGAACUCCUGGUGUAGCGGUGGAAUGCGCAGAUAUCAGGAAGAACACCAAUAGCGAAGGCAGCUCGCUGGGACGGUACUGACGCUAAGGCGCGAAAGCGUGGGGAGCAAACAGG
RNAcentral lists this ribosomal RNA (253 nucleotides) under uncultured bacterium. RNAcentral's name for it is "partial 16S ribosomal RNA". It matches the Rfam family "Bacterial small subunit ribosomal RNA", at positions 524 to 776 of the family's 1533-position model. The record is from RNAcentral.